AAGUCGUAACAAGGUUUCCGUAGGUGAACCUGCGGAAGGAUCAUUACCGAGUUAGGGUACUCUUCGUGCCCGACCUCCAACCCUUUGUCUACCUGACCAGAUGUUGCUUCGGCAGGCCCGCCGCCCCGCAAAGGGCAGCCGCCGGGGGUCCUUACCGGCCCCGGGUCCGUGCCUGUCGAUGGCCCUUCUAAAACUCUUGCUUAAAACGUGUCGUCUGAGUAAACAAACAAAAUAAAAACAAAACUUUCAACAACGGAUCUCUUGGUUCUG
RNAcentral lists this unclassified non-coding RNA (270 nucleotides) under Cyphellophora sp. RNAcentral describes it as "partial contains small subunit ribosomal RNA, internal transcribed spacer 1, and 5.8S ribosomal RNA". The stretch from base 1 to 46 matches the Rfam family "Eukaryotic small subunit ribosomal RNA", at positions 1786 to 1831 of the family's 1831-position model. The record is from RNAcentral. Lineage: Eukaryota; Fungi; Ascomycota; Eurotiomycetes; Chaetothyriales; Cyphellophoraceae. RNAcentral also lists the same sequence under 1 other name.